RNAcentral lists this ribosomal RNA (166 nucleotides) under Russulaceae sp. RNAcentral describes it as "partial large subunit ribosomal RNA". It matches the Rfam family "Eukaryotic large subunit ribosomal RNA", at positions 99 to 260 of the family's 3401-position model. Lineage: Eukaryota; Fungi; Basidiomycota; Agaricomycetes; Russulales; Russulaceae. The record is from RNAcentral.
CGGCAACAGCUCAAAUUUGAAAUCUGGCUCUUCUAGGGUCCGAGUUGUAAUUUAGAGAAGCGUCUUCCGCGCUGGACCGUGCACAAGUCUCCUGGAAUGGAGCGUCAUAGAGGGUGAGAAUCCCGUCUUUGGCACGGACUCCCGGUGCUUUGCGAUGCGCUCUCGA